This 433-nucleotide ribosomal RNA is filed under the name uncultured bacterium. RNAcentral describes it as "partial 16S ribosomal RNA". It matches the Rfam family "Bacterial small subunit ribosomal RNA", at positions 29 to 507 of the family's 1533-position model. The record is from RNAcentral.
AGCGAACGCUGGCGGCAGGCCUAACACAUGCAAGUCGAACGAACUCUUCGGAGUUAGUGGCGGACGGGUGAGUAACACGUGGGAACGUGCCUUUAGGUUCGGAAUAACUCAGGGAAAGUUGUGCUAAUACCGAAUGUGCCCUUCGGGGGAAAGAUUUAUCGCCUUUAGAGCGGCCCGCGUCUGAUUAGCUAGUUGGUGAGGUAAAGGCUCACCAAGGCGACGAUCAGUAGCUGGUCUGAGAGGAUGAUCAGCCACAUUGGGACUGAGACACGGCCCAAACUCCUACGGGAGGCAGCAGUGGGGAAUCUUGCGCAAUGGGCGAAAGCCUGACGCAGCCAUGCCGCGUGAAUGAUGAAGGUCUUAGGAUUGUAAAAUUCUUUCACCGGGGACGAUAAUGACGGUACCCGGAGAAGAAGCCCCGGCUAACUUCGUG